UACAGAGGUCCCAAGCGUUGUUCGGAUUUACUGGGCGUAAAGGGUGCGUAGGUGGCGAGGUAAGUUUGAUGUGAAAUCUCCGAGCUCAACUCGGAAAUGGCAUUGAAUACUAUCCCGCUUGAGGGUCGGAGGGGAGACUGGAAUUCUCGGUGUAGCGGUGAAAUGCGUAGAUAUCGAGAGGAACACCUGCGGCGAAGGCGGGUUGCUGGGCUGAUACUGACGCUGAGGCGCGAAAGCUAGGGGAGCGAACGGG
RNAcentral lists this ribosomal RNA (253 nucleotides) under uncultured bacterium. RNAcentral describes it as "partial 16S ribosomal RNA". It matches the Rfam family "Bacterial small subunit ribosomal RNA", at positions 524 to 776 of the family's 1533-position model. The record is from RNAcentral.